RNAcentral lists this ribosomal RNA (492 nucleotides) under uncultured bacterium. RNAcentral's name for it is "partial 16S ribosomal RNA". It matches the Rfam family "Bacterial small subunit ribosomal RNA", at positions 29 to 507 of the family's 1533-position model. The record is from RNAcentral.
AGUGAACGCUGGCGGUAGGCCUAACACAUGCAAGUCGAACGGCAGCACAGUAAGAGCUUGCUCUUACGGGUGGCGAGUGGCGGACGGGUGAGGAAUACAUCGGAAUCUACUUUUUCGUGGGGGAUAACGUAGGGAAACUUACGCUAAUACCGCAUACGACCUACGGGUGAAAGCAGGGGAUCUUCGGACCUUGCGCGAUUGAAUGAGCCGAUGUCGGAUUAGCUAGUUGGCGGGGUAAAGGCCCACCAAGGCGACGAUCCGUAGCUGGUCUGAGAGGAUGACCAGCCACACUGGAACUGAGACACGGUCCAGACUCCUACGGGAGGCAGCAGUGGGGAAUAUUGGACAAUGGGCGCAAGCCUGAUCCAGCCAUACCGCGUGGGUGAAGAAGGCCUUCGGGUUGUAAAGCCCUUCUGUUGGGAAAGAAAAGCAGCAGGUUAAUACCCCGCUGUUCUGACGGUACCCAAAGAAUAAGCACCGGCUAACUUCGUG